Molecule: long non-coding RNA, 171 nt
Organism: Bradysia coprophila
Lineage: Eukaryota; Metazoa; Arthropoda; Insecta; Diptera; Sciaridae
Source: RefSeq, a predicted model, not a curated record
UUGGGUCUGAUUACUGUUUGCGUAUCGAAGCUGUAAGCGUCACCAAUAUCAGUUCUUUUGUAAGUGGAUAGAAGGACUUGCGUCACACUUCCACCGUAAGUGGUUUUUGGGUGAUAUCAGUUCCUUUGUAAGUAUGGCCAAUCACAAAUGUUCUUUUCCGAGUUAUUAGUC